UACAGGGGUGCAAACGUUGCUCGGAAUCAUUGGGCGUAAAGCGCACGUAGGCGGUUCGUUAUGUCGGAUGUGAAAGCCCUUGGCUUAACCGAGGAAGUGCAUCCGAAACUGGCGAGCUAGAGUACGAAAGAGGAUCGCGGAAUUCCCGGUGUAGAGGUGAAAUUCGUAGAUAUCGGGAGGAACACCGGUGGCGAAGGCGGCGAUCUGGGUCGAUACUGACGCUGAGGUGCGAAAGCGUGGGGAGCAACAGG
Molecule: ribosomal RNA, 251 nt
Filed under: uncultured bacterium
Lineage: Bacteria
Description: partial 16S ribosomal RNA
Rfam family: Bacterial small subunit ribosomal RNA
Source: RNAcentral